AAGUGAUAGUUUAGGGUGGUUUUAUUUGCAAGCUGGGAGGGGAUCAUAGGGUAUGGAGUCACGAGGUUGAUCAAGGUUGGUUACAAAGUCAAAUGGCCUUAUCAAUCAGGGCAGGAAUAAGGAACAAUAGAGAAUGUCUCAAAGUUAAGUAAGCACUGCACGGGUUGAUCAUUUCUUUCUCUUUUC
Molecule: long non-coding RNA, 186 nt
Organism: Sapajus apella (tufted capuchin)
Lineage: Eukaryota; Metazoa; Chordata; Mammalia; Primates; Cebidae
Exons: 4
Source: RefSeq, a predicted model, not a curated record